Non-coding RNA from Hydra vulgaris (swiftwater hydra), 750 nucleotides. The record is from RefSeq and is a predicted model, not a curated record. Lineage: Eukaryota; Metazoa; Cnidaria; Hydrozoa; Anthoathecata; Hydridae.
GCAAGCGCUAAAACUUCCUGAAAUUUUUAAGUAACGCAUUUUUUUUCGAAUAUAAAAGAAGUCUUUUUACAACGACAAAUAGACGCGUUCUAGCUAAUUUUUAUUUUUGUUAUCAAUUACUUGAAAAUUGUGGUAAUAUUGAUACAGGUAAUGAAAUUUUUUACAGAUAAUAGAAGAAACGGUUUAAAACUGAACAUAUGCUAUACUAUUUAUAUAUAUAUACUUGAUAUACUAUUAGUAUAGUAUUGCUAUAUCAAGAACCAAGCUCUAACAAUUUCAAAGAUUUAGACAUCUCAUGUAGAAUCGAAUUUUUCAAUAGAAAAACCUGUUAAUGAUACAUAGAACAAUUAUCCUGGUAAUUUUUUGAAUUCAAUGUCUUUAUUCGACAAUAUUAUGCUAUUUUGGAAUGGGACCAGUACCUUAGUUAACCUUCUUGAAAUAUUGCCAUAUCAAGGUUUGAAAAAAGAUGCAAGGAGAAUUUUAAAAACACCUAAUGAAAAGGGACUUAUAGACAGAAGCGUCAACUACAUCAACUGUCAGUUGAUAUAUAUGUUUUGGUCAAAUAGUUGUUUGUAUUAGGUCCUCCAAAAUUUGAAAGUCUGUGAUUCAAAAUUUUGCUUUUCCCAAAAAAAAAGUUAAAGGAAAUAUAUAAAGUCAAUGACAGAUCUUAAAGUUUUACAAAGAUUAAUAAAUAGAAGUUAUUAAAUGUUGGUGGCUCAUCAUGCAGUGCAUAUGAGAAGGGCAUGCUUU